GAUGCUGUAGACUAAUUGGUUAGGUCGCCUACACGGAAUGGAGGAGCUGCGGGUUCGAAUCCUGCCAGUGCCA
RNAcentral lists this transfer RNA (73 nucleotides) under Acanthoscelides obtectus. It matches the Rfam family "tRNA". From Rfam's summary of the family: Transfer RNA (tRNA) molecules are approximately 80 nucleotides in length. Their secondary structure includes four short double-helical elements and three loops (D, anti-codon, and T loops). The record is from Rfam by way of RNAcentral. Lineage: Eukaryota; Metazoa; Arthropoda; Insecta; Coleoptera; Chrysomelidae.